RNAcentral lists this ribosomal RNA (477 nucleotides) under uncultured bacterium. RNAcentral's name for it is "partial 16S ribosomal RNA". It matches the Rfam family "Bacterial small subunit ribosomal RNA", at positions 28 to 507 of the family's 1533-position model. The record is from RNAcentral.
GAUGAACGCUGGCGGCGUGCUUAACACAUGCAAGUCGAACGGGAAACCUUUUAUUGAAGCUUCGGCAGAUUUAGCUGGUUUCUAGUGGCGGACGGGUGAGUAACGCGUGGGUAACCUGCCUUAUACAGGGGGAUAACAGUCAGAAAUGGCUGCUAAUACCGCAUAAGCGCACAGAGCUGCAUGGCUCAGUGUGAAAAACUCCGGUGGUAUAAGAUGGACCCGCGUUGGAUUAGCUGGUUGGUGGGGUAACGGCCCACCAAGGCGACGAUCCAUAGCCGGCCUGGGAGGGGGAACGGCCACAUUGGGAUGGGGACCAGGCCCAGACCCCCAGGGGGGGCGGGGGGGGGGAAAAUUGGAAAAGGGGGGAAACCCUGAAGCGGCGAGGCCGGGUGAAGGAAAAAGUAUCUGGGUAUGAAAACCUCUUUCCACGGGGAAGAAAAGACGGUAACCGGAAAAAAAAGCCCGGCUAAACACGGG